GGCUCAGCCCUGGUCAGACAAAGUUCCAGGCAGAAAGAAGGGGUGAUGCAUGGGCUUGGUGAGAUUCAGGAAAUGAACGAAGGCCCAUGGGAUGGGGGCAGGGUGAGUGAGGGGGCUGGUGGCAGGAGAUUCGACUGGAUCAGAGAGGGAGGCAGGAGCCAGCGGGGUAAGUGUUCCUGGGCACUUCAGAGAAGUUGGUGUUGAGAGAUGAAGGCUUUCUGUGUGAGCUUUUGUGGUAGAGACACACCAUUGUUCACCAAAAUCCCCUGAUUCUUUUUUUUUUUUUUCGGGCUGUCAGGAAUACUAUCUGCUGUGCCAUUGGGUGUGGCUGUGUGACAUAGUUAUAAAGCCAGAAUGGGAGCAGAAGUGAUGUCCCUACUGCCUGUCCUGGCCUGCAAAACGUGCCCACAAGUUCUCCUCUUCCUCCUUUCUUCGCAUCUGGUUAACUGAGAUGGGAACAAUCACAAGAGUGGUGAAAGCCUUGUGUUGAAGAUGGCAGAGUGGCCUCUAGUUUGGGUUCAUGAAUGACUUCAUGGGGCAGAACGCCCACCCCCAGCCUUACCACAGCCUUUCUGACCUGGAACCGCCUUGGAGUGCAACAUGUGAAGAAAAAUCAACACCCUGUUCUAACUGUGGAAAGCUGGUCAUUGCAGCACAGCCCAACUAAUACUGCCAGGAAGACCUUGGCAAUGAAACCUGAAGUCCUGUGGGUCACAGGGGAGAGAACAGGAUCUUUAGGAUUUCCCUGGCACCGAGAGCCUCCUGGUCUCUACCGACACCACCAGGCGCUGACCACAGCUUUCUCCGGAAAUGGUAAGUCCUUCACCCGGACUGCCCCCAGGUAGCCAGGCUGAACACCCAAGAACCCAGAGUUCCUGGCUCCUCCCACCACAUCCGGACUUGGAUGAAACGUCACACUGAUUCUUACUGCCAAAAGGGCCACUGACAACACCUAGCACUGUUGGGGAGUUAGCUUCCUGUGGACUGAAUCUUCACUAAUGGAAAACAGGAGAUGAGAGGGAGACUGGCAGACGAAUCCCCCUUCCUCCUCCCUGCCAUGGCUAUCAUGUCUCUCUGCAGCCCUUUCAGAGACGAACCAUAUGCCAGCCAGACAUGCUUGCUGAGUACCCUGCUGUGAUCUCUGAGGCUUGGCAUAAAGUGUCAGCCAGAAGGACAAUGCACCAUUUCACACAUCCUCAUAUUUCUUUGCUUUGCUUUUCCUUGUCUCAGCCUUGCUGCCUUUGUUUGCAUUUCCUAAAUGUAAUAGUUAAUUUUAUGUUUCAACCUGUUUGGGCCAUGGUGUCCAGGCAUGGUAUCAAACAUUUUUCUGUGAAGAGAUAAAUUUAUAUAUUUGGGAGGCUAUUUUGGGGGUGAGAUUAACAUUUAAAUCAAUGGACUCUGAGGAAAGCAGACUCUUUCCCAUAAUAUGGGUGGGCUUCAUUCAACCAGCUGAAAGUCUGAACAGAAUAAAGGGCCGACUUCUUUUGAGCA
RNAcentral lists this long non-coding RNA (1491 nucleotides) under Bos indicus x Bos taurus (hybrid cattle). Its description in RNAcentral is "lncRNA (ENSBIXG00005026668.1)". Lineage: Eukaryota; Metazoa; Chordata; Mammalia; Artiodactyla; Bovidae. The record is from RNAcentral.